GACGAACGCUGGCGGCGUGCUUAACACAUGCAAGUCGAGCGGUAAGGCCCUUUGGGGUACACGAGCGGCGAACGGGUGAGUAACACGUGAGUAAUCUGCCUUUGGCUUGGGAAUAACUUCGGGAAAUUGGGGCUAAUGCCUGAUGUUUACUGUCUGCUGCAUGGUGGGUGGUGGAAAGAUUUUUUGGCCAGGGAUGAGCUCGCGGUCUAUCAGCUUGUUGGUGGGGUAAUGGCUACCAAGGCUUUGACGGGUAGCCGGCCUGAGAGGGUGUUCGGCCACACUGGGGACUGAGACACGGCCCAGACUCCUACGGGAGGCAGCAGUGGGGAAUAUUGCGCAAUGGGCGUAAGCCUGACGCAGCGACGCCG
RNAcentral lists this ribosomal RNA (368 nucleotides) under uncultured bacterium. Its description in RNAcentral is "bacterial SSU rRNA". It matches the Rfam family "Bacterial small subunit ribosomal RNA", at positions 28 to 399 of the family's 1533-position model. The record is from RNAcentral.